CAACGCACAUGUCAGUUUGGCCAGCGGGGCCCGACAGCCAGGGCCCCAGAUGCUUUCCUAUUGGUUGAUUUGGUGUGAGGGCGGGUACUGGGCAUCGCUACCUUGUCAAUUAACUUAUUAUUUAGCGACUGUGCGAUUUGGUACUCUACCGACCGAACAUAAAUUAGAGAUUAAAUGUCUGGGACCCCAUAGACCAGAGGAUUUCACCCUUUGUCAAGAAGGAAAGGAUAAAAAUAGAUCAUUCAACCAUGAAUGGUUCAAACGUAAAAAAUGGCUAACGGCUAGCCAAUCGAAAAAAGUGCUAUUCUGUUUUCCAUGUCUUCUUUUUGGAGGGGAAACUGUCUGGACAAUGACUGGAUUUAAGGACUUGAAACAUCUAUCAGAAAGGCUAGUAAAACAUGAGACCUGCGCAUCACAUGUGGAUAAUGCCAUCAAGCUUGGCUUAUUAGGGACCACAAAUAUUGCAUCUCAGCUUGACAGUGCACACAGACGUGGCAUCGAAGAGCACAAUCGCCAGACUGAAGAAAACAGAUAUGUUCUUGGCAGAAUUAUAACCUGUUUAAAACUGUGCGGGAAGUGUGAACUUGCCCUGCGUGGACAUGACGAGUCUGCCAGCUCCUUAAACCCCGGCAUUUUCAGGUGUAUUUUUGAGAUGAUGUGUGAGGGAGACUCCA
Molecule: long non-coding RNA, 674 nt
Organism: Thalassophryne amazonica
Lineage: Eukaryota; Metazoa; Chordata; Actinopteri; Batrachoidiformes; Batrachoididae
Exons: 2
Source: RefSeq, a predicted model, not a curated record